GCCUACGGGGGGCAGCAGUGAGGAAUAUUGGUCAAUGGGCGCGAGCCUGAACCAGCCAGGUCGCGUGAGGGAUGACGGUCCUACGGAUUGUAAACCUCUUUUGCCGGGGAGCAAGCGUGCGUUCGUGAACGCGCGUCGAGAGUACCCGGAGAAAAAGCAUCGGCUAACUCCGUGCCAGCAGCCGCGGUAAUACGGGGGAUGCGAGCGUUAUCCGGAUUUAUUGGGUUUAAAGGGUGCGUAGGCGGGCUGUUAAGUCAGCGGUAAAAGCCCGGGGCUCAACCCCGGCGAGCCGUUGAAACUGGCUG
Molecule: ribosomal RNA, 305 nt
Filed under: uncultured bacterium
Lineage: Bacteria
Description: bacterial SSU rRNA
Rfam family: Bacterial small subunit ribosomal RNA
Source: RNAcentral